UACGGAAGGCAGCAGUGGGGAAUAUUGCACAAUGGGCGCAAGCCUGAUGCAGCCAUGCCGCGUGUAUGAAGAAGGGCCUUCGGGUUGUAAAGUACUUUCAGUCGUGAGGAAGGUGUUAAGGUUAAUAACCUUAGCAAUUGACGUUAGCGACAGAAGAAGCACCGGCUAACUCCGUGCCAGCAGCCGCGGUAAUACGGAGGGUGCGAGCGUUAAUCGGAAUUACUGGGCGUAAAGGGCACGCAGGCGGUUAAUUAAGUUGGAUGUGAAUCCCCGGGCUUAACCUGGGAAUGGCAUUCAAGACUGGUUAGCUAGAGUCUUGUAGAGGGGGUAGAAUUCCAUGUGUAGCGGUGAAAUGCGUAGAGAUGUGGAGGAAUACCGGUGGCGAAGGCGGCCCCUGGGACAAAGGACUGACGCUCGAUGUGCGAAAGCGUGGGGAGCAAACAGGAUUAGAUACC
This 455-nucleotide ribosomal RNA is filed under the name uncultured bacterium. RNAcentral's name for it is "bacterial SSU rRNA". It matches the Rfam family "Bacterial small subunit ribosomal RNA", at positions 340 to 786 of the family's 1533-position model. The record is from RNAcentral.